UGCUAUUUACAGAUAGGCGUGGGAUAGAAAAAAAUGACUAGAGUUUAUUCACUCAGUUUCCCAUUUCAUUCUUGAGGAGGUGAGGAGUUUUGCUUUUCAUGCCGGAGUUCUCUCCACAGGCAACACACUCAGCAGAGGAAAGGCCUGUGAACUUUGGCUCAUGAAAUAGCACGUCAGGAAAUGCCAAUAUAUUAAUGGACUUUUAGACUUCCCUGAAAAUAUUUAUUAACGGGCUCCUUAGACUUUCCCAUCCUGAUUUCAAGACAGUGGACACACUGUUCAAAAUGGACAGUCCAGCUUUCAUCUAGCUUCUCACAGAGACAAGAGUGCCUCUGGCAAAGUAAUUAUUGUGGUUCAUGGAGUUGCCAUUCACCAACCUGGAAUUGGCCUUCAUCUUGCUGGCUUUUGUUGUCUUCUCCCUAUUCAGUCUGGCUUCCAUCUACAGUGAUCCUGAGGAGAGAAAUGCAGAGAAAGAAUGUCAAUGGGAGGAAAAAAGAAGACAUAAGAAGUCCAAGAAAAAGAAAAGCAGUCCAGAAGGUCAGAGAUUCAUUGAAGAAAUUUAGAAUUAAACUUUCUGUCCUAAGAUCUUAAAGAUGGAAAUAUUCUCCAUUCUAGGGAGGAUGGACUCCAAAGUUUCCAUCUGGAGUCAGAAAAAUGAAGGGAUAUCCAUGAGGAUGGAAGAAGCUAUACACUGAAUCAGAAAUAUCUAUAAUAACCAUUAACAAACUGCAUCCUGGAAGUGAUCAUGGCACCUUUUUGAUUAUUCCAUUUUAUAGUCUGAAAAAUGGUAGUAUUCAUAGUAAUAAGAUUAUGACCAGAAAUAAAGGAUCCAAAUCACAUGAAUUGCCAUUUUCAAAGAAUAGAGAAAGGAAAAUCUUCAUUCACUUUUUUUUUUCAUUUGAUUUUCCUUAUCAAUUUCAUUAAGGACUAAAGGAAAUGAUGGCUUAUUUGUUUAACAUCUGAAAAGGAAAUGAAAAAAAUGAAUUCAAUUUAUUUAGUGGAACUUUAUAAUUCAAUUAAAAUGAACUUUGAAGAAGGAAUUGUGACCAUUAAAUCAUGAUAUUUCCUUUUUUAAGAAUUAUCUGUCCAUCUUGACUUGAUGUUAAGAAAAAAGUUUCCUAAUAUUAGGUUGUCUGAAAGUAGAAUGGACUGCCUUAUGAGUAAGUAGACAGCUUUCAUUAGGAGGCCUUUAAAUGGAGACUGAAUAGUUACUAUUUAGAUCCAUUAUGGUAGGAAUUUCUUUUUGAGUAUUGGCUGUUGAGGUAUUAUAGUUAUAUGAAAAUUCAUGGGCCUGAUCCCACUACUGGUUGACACAGAAGCCUUGACUUGCUCUAUUUCUAUUCUGGGCACUGAUUUGCCUAUCCUUAGAAAACCUUGCUCAAUCACUUACUAAGUGGAAGGAAGGAGAGUUUCACUAUAUUGCUACUGAAAUUUUUGUGAAUUUAGACCUACUACAACUUAGAAAUCCUCAAGGGAUCCACUAGGUUCAGCCCUACCUAGUAAUAACUAGGAUUGCAGACAUCUACCAUCAAACUCAGAAAUCACAAAAUUUCAAUGUUAUUAUAUAUGAGUGAGAUGGGGAAUCUGAACUUUUCACUCUCUGAUGUCAGAUGGCUUAAAAGAUCAAAAUUAUAUAAAAAUUGAUAAAAUGAUUUGAUAAAUUUAGUUACAUAGUGAAAAAUCACAGUGAAAAUGUUGAUCUCUAUCUGUGCUAUGACUAUUAAUCAGCAUUAUAUAAGCAAUCAGAAAAGUGUAUCAUAUUGUGUCCUCCCCCCGCCUCUUUCUCAAAAAAGCUAUCAGCAGCCAGUAUCCAAAAGGAAUUCCUACCAUUACAGAUUUAACAAGUAGUUAUCCAAGACUCUAUUUAAAGACCUCCAAUGAAGGCUACCCACUAUUUCUGAAGGAAGCCCAUUCUACUUUCAGCCAGUCCUAAGAUUAAGAGGCUUUUUUCCUGAUAUCAAGUCAAAAUUGGCCCCUUGUAACUUUCACUCAUUAUUCCUAGUCCUGGCCUCUGGAAAGAAAAUUUAAUGUAACUUCUCUAAUACAAUUCCGUAGACAUAACAUGAUCUCAACUUGAUAAAUUAUAAGUACUUAAUUCACAUGAUUUUCAGACUUCUUUUUGCUUCUAACUGAAGGGUAUUUAAGGAUCUGAAAGAAGUGGCCCAAAAUAGUAAGAUAAGGCACAAGGAAAGAUCCAUCCACUGAGUGCUAACCUGAUAUAUGUUUUAUUGCCUACAUCAUCCCCACACUAUACUUACUUAACCAUCAAGUUAGUUUUUUAAUACUAUUUUACUUUUUUCCAAUUUCCAUGUGAAGACAAUUUUAACAUUUUUUAAUAUGAAAUUUUGAGUUCUAAAUUUUCUCACUCCCCCCAAGACAGUAAACAAUUAUAUAUGUGACCUUAUGUAAAAUAUUCCAUAUUAGUCUUGUUGAAAAGAAGCAAUAGAAAAAAAAAAAAGAAAAAAGCAAAGAAAGUAAAAAUAAUAUGAUUCAGGCUGCAUUCAGACUCCCAAUUCUUUAUCUGAAUGUGAAUAGUAGUUUCUAUCAUGAGUUUUUUGGACUUGUUUCAGCUUAUCAUAUUGCAGAGAAGAGCUAAAUCAUUUAUAACUGAUCAUCACACAACAUUGCUGAUACUGUAUACAAUGUUUUCCUGGUGCUGCUCACUUCAUUUUGCAUCAGUGCAUGUAAAUAUUUCCAUGUUUUCAUGAAAUCUAUCUGCUCAUCAUUUCUUAUGGUCCAUUGUAUUCCAUUAGAGUCAUAUAACAUAAUUUGUUUAAUCAUUUCAAUUUUUCUGCCCUAUUCUCCCUCUUCAUACAUCAAGCAAUCUGAAAUAGGUUAUACAUGUACAAUCAUAUUAAACAUAUUUCCACAUUAGUCAUGUUCUGAAAGAAGCAGCAGAAAAAAAGAAAGAAAAAAUGACACCCCCCCCAAAAAAAAAAGUGAAAAUAUAUAGUAGGGGCAGCUAGAUGGCACAGCGGAUACCUGAAUUCAGCAGAACCUGAGUUCAAAUCCAACUUCAGACACUUAACACUUACUAGCUGUGUGACCCUGGGGAAGUUACUUAACCCCAGUAAUUCCAUCGGUGGUCAUACUCUUGAUUUCCAAUUCUUUGUCACCAUAAAAAGAAUCAAGGCAAAUUUAAUGAAGGUAGUUCUAAUAAAAUAAAAAUGUUAUCGAUGGUGCAGACUCACCUAACAAGCUAAACUUACACAAAUCAGAUACAAUCAUAGAAGGCAUUCCCCUAGAACACCAUUAUCUCUAAUUGCCCUUACCUGGAAUUAUAUUAGGAGAUACUAAAAAUAUAGCUCUCAUCUAUACCUAGAGAGAUAUUGUAAGGACUGAGUGUGGAUCACAACAUGGUAUUUUUAUUUUUUGUUGUUGCUUGCUUGCAUUUUGUUAUUUUUUUUUCCUUUUUGGUCUGAGUUUUCUUGUGCAGCAUGAUAACUGUGGAAAUAUAUAUAGAAGAAUUGCACAUUUUUAACAUGUAUUGGAUUACUUGAUAUCUAGGAGAAAGGGGGCUAUCUAGGGAGGCAGGGAGAAAAAUAUUUGGAACAAGAUAUAUACAUAUAUAUAUAUAUCUCAGAGAAUUAGGAAAACAUUGUAUAUAAUAGCAGCCCUGUAUGAUGAUCCACUUUGAUAGACUUUGCUCUUCUCAAUAAUAUAAUGAUCUAAGACAAUUCCAAAGGACCCAUGAUGAAAAAAUUUUAUCUACAUCCAGAAAAAGAACUAUGGAAUCUGAAUAUAGAUCAAAGCAUACUAUUUUCAUUUUUUUGAUACUUUUUUCUUUCUCGUGCUUUUUUUCCUUUUUGUUCUAAUUUUUCUUUACAACUAAUGGAAAUAUGCUUAAUAUGAUUGUACAUGUAUAUACUAUGUCAAAUUGCUUGCUGUCUUGGGGGGGAUGGAGAGGGAAGAAGAAAAAAAUGGAAAUCAAAAUCUUAUAAAAGUAAAUUUGAAAACUAAAAAAUUCUAAUAGAAAUAGAAAUAAACCAAAUUAUAUAUUUAUGCACACAAAGAUGUACCAUACAUACAAAUGUAUGUACAAAUAUGUGUGUGUGCAUGUAUCUGAUAUAAUUUAUGUCUAGUUUUCCCAAAAAUGUGGGUAAUUGGAAUUCUGAACUCCUCUAUGAUCAUUAAAGGUAACACAAGCAAGUCAGCUCUGGGACAAUAUUUUACAUCAAAUAUAGAAUAUUCAAAGGACUCAAAAGAGCUUAAAACAAUCAUAGAAACAUACAAAGGACUUACAUAACUCAUCACCUUCUGAAAGGGAACUGAUCUGGGGUUGCUAUCAAAGCAACUUUUCAACAUUCCAGAGAACUCCUCUUUCCUACAGAGGUUUACACAUUCUCCCUAUAACCUGUGGGGUCAUUUUGUCAUUGUCAUAAGUGACAAUUUUAUACUCCCUUCCCCAAAAAAGUUAAACAUACUUUGGAAGGUGCUGACUACUAUAUUUGAUGUCUCCACUUCCUCUCAUUUCACUGUCUUUUUUACUGAAAUUAUUUUCUCCAAAGUGACCAGUGAUCUCUUAAUUUAAAAAUCUAAUGUUCUUUCCUCGUUCCCAAUCCUUCUUAAGCUUUUGACAUUGCCAAUCAACCUCUUCUCCUGGAUUCUCAUCUCUGAGUUUUCAUCAUGCUUCUCUCAGUUCUCCUCCCAUGUCUGACUGCUUCUCAAUCUCCUUUGCUUUAACUAUAUUAAUGGCAUAGCCACUAACUGGACAUAUGCUCCAAGGUUUUGCUUGAGACCCUCUUUUUUUUCUACUAUACUCAUUUGGUGAUCUCAACUCCCAUCUUUAUAACUAUACAUUUGUGUUCUACAUAACAUACAUCUUAUAUAUCUAACUGAUAUAUAUGUAAUAUUAUAUACUAGAUGUCUCUAUUGCAUACAUCUAACCCUAGUCUCUCUCCUGAGAUCCAAUCCAGCAUCACCAAUUGUCUCUCAGAAAUUUUUUUAAAAGCAUGUCAAACUCAACAAGCCCAAAAUAAGCCUCAUUAUCUUUCCCUAAAAACUCUCUCCUCUUUCAGACUUCCUUGUUCCUAUCAAGGGCUAUACCAACUUUCAAUCAGCCAGACUCCUCACUCUCCCUCAACACACCUAUCAGUUGCCAAAUAUUGACGUUUCUAUCUUCACAUUUCCUGCACAGGUCUCUUCUCCUUUCCCACAAAUGUUUGUUAGUAUGAACUCUCAUCAGUUCUCAUCUGAACAAUUACAGUUGUAGCUACUUGGUUUCCCUACCUCAACAUCUUCUUGAUUCCAUUCCAUCCUCCACUCAGCUAUCAAAGCGAUUUUCCUAAAGUGUAGGUCUGACCACUUU
Molecule: long non-coding RNA, 5308 nt
Organism: Antechinus flavipes (yellow-footed antechinus)
Lineage: Eukaryota; Metazoa; Chordata; Mammalia; Dasyuromorphia; Dasyuridae
Exons: 3
Source: RefSeq, a predicted model, not a curated record